RNAcentral lists this ribosomal RNA (497 nucleotides) under uncultured bacterium. Its description in RNAcentral is "partial 16S ribosomal RNA". It matches the Rfam family "Bacterial small subunit ribosomal RNA", at positions 28 to 507 of the family's 1533-position model. The record is from RNAcentral.
GAUGAACGCUGGCGGCGUGCCUAAUACAUGCAAGUCGAGCGAACGGACGAGAAGCUUGCUUUUCUGAUGUUAGCGGCGGAUGGGUGAGUAACACGUGGAUAACCUACCUAUAAUACUGGGAUAACUUCGGGAAACCGGAGCUAAUACCGGAUGAUCUUUUUGACCGCAUGGUUCAAAAGUUAACGACGGUCUUUCUGUCCCUUAUCGAUGGAUCCGCGCUGCAUUAGCUAGUUUGUAAGGUAACGGCUUACCAAGGCAACGAUGCAUAGGCGACCUGAGAGGGUGAUCGGCCACACUGGAGCGGAGACACGGUCCAGACUCCUACGGGAGGCAGCAGUAGGGAAUCGUCCGCAAUGGGCGAAAGCCUGACGGAGCAGCGCCGCGUGAGUGAUGAAGGUCUUCGGAUCGUAAAACUCUGUUAUUAGUGAAGAACAUAUGUGUAAGGAACUGUGCACAUCUUGACGGUACCUAAUCAGAAAGCCACGGCUAACUACGUG